AUGAUGGGAUGCGGAUGCGUGAUAAGGUUUAUGACUUGAGGAUUUAGCACGACACUGCACCGUGGUAGCUCGCUGCGCAAUAAUAAACAGCGCUGCUGUUCGGGCGCAGCUUUGGGAAAGUCAUCUUGCACGUUUUGCCGGAUUCUGCGGUCCCCUCCAACUUAACGUCCUGGUGAGGCUCCAUCGUGGGGUUUUUGUAGUACAUGUACCCGAUGAGCUGCAUGCCCAUGCCGGGCUGCCGGUACCACAGCAUCUGGUCGUAGUUCGGUAUGCUGUGAGUACACGCGAUCGUGGCCGGGCGGCCCGCUGCCUCGAUGAUGUCGGCGGGCGUUUGCGUGACUUUCAGUCCUGAAAGAAAAAAGAAACGCACACGUUUUGUAAAUUCCGAAGUCCACAAAACGAACAAACCUUUGUUUCGGUUAGUCUACGGUGAAUCUUCCAUAAACAUCAAAAAUGAUUUAUCGAUUACUUUAAGCAUUUUUGUUACCAUCGAAGGCAAUGUAGAGCCUUCAAUAAACCUGAAGUGUGUGUUUUCGUAAACAUUGAUGAUGAUUUAGUCGUUGACAAAUCUAACAUUGACAUUUUGGUCAACUUUGAAGGUGUUUCGUCUCCGGUGAAUCUCAUUCUCCUAAACUGCAAGAUGAAUUUGAAUUCGAUUUUCGGGGAAUCAAACAUUUUGUGACCUUUGUCGUGGAGACCCAUUUUGAGUCUUCGAUGGGACACAACGUAUACCUUGUCGUAAACAUCAAAGACAAAUUGGUAAGUUAAGCGUUUUCGAUUGAUCAAACCUACGCACUUUCAGUCCUGAAGGAAAGAAUUCAAAACGUUAGCUUUGGCUCGUGGAGCCGAUGACGUCCGAUGUUACCUGACAGCAGAGUAACGCUGGCAGCAAAGCUCAGCAACACGAGGAACAUCAUCUUUGCCUUUCGGGUUACUUGAGCUCGUUAUGAUCGGCACUCGCCACUCAUCAGAUAAAAGAGCAGCAGCCGACGCGAGCUGAUUGGCUGAGAUCCCGUGGUUCGCGGCCUCCUUUAACUUUAACUUUAAAAGGCCUAUUUUUAAAGAUUUUAAAUGAAUGUGUUUCCUCUAAACGUGAUAUUUGUUAUCAUUUUUUAUUUAAUUUGCAACUUUUAAAAUAUAGUUUGCAUUGUUUUGUCCUUUCUUUUAUUGUAAUUCUUUUGUAAAUGAGAUGAGAUCUGUUUAACGUUUUGGAUUAUUGUAAUGUAAUGAAUGUAUUCUAACGAUAAAAUACUAAUAUAUUAAUUUAUUACAUUUUCCUUCAGGGAUUACAUGAAAACUCAAAAAAUCAACACUGAACAUCAGCAAGUACGUGCCGCCCAGGUCGUGGCUGCAGCGCACGCUGGCGGGCGAGCCGACUCGGACCAGCAAGUCCGACGUCUGGCGCCCCCCUUCGCCGUCUCCUGGAAGCAAUGCGGUCUGCGCGCUUAUCUAAUCACCGACGUCUGUCAACGAGACGCUGAUCCUCACCAGCGACGAUGCAGAGCAGCCAGAAGCCGAAGGGGCUGACGGCUGGCGACAUUUUGUUGGGGAAACUUGAGUGACAAGUGAGACACGCCGCCGCAUACUGCAAGGUGGCAUCUGAAAGGGGUUGUUGACCGUGUGACGUGGUCCCCAAAUGCCAAAGUAUCCUCACAAGUCCUACAGGGUCAGGGUUUCAAAGUCAAGUUUCAAAAUGGGGUUAGGGUUUCAAAGUAUGGUUUCAAAACAGGGUACGGUUUCAAAGUAGAGUUUCAAAACAGGGUUAUGGCUUCAAAUUAGGGUUUCAAAACGGGGUUAGGUUUCAAACAUUGUUGGUGUUUCAAAGUAGGGUUUCAAAACAGGGUAGGGCUUCAAAGAAGGGUUUCAAAACAGGGUUGCGGUUUCAAAAUCGGGUUUCACAAUGGGGUUAGGGCAUCAAAGUCGGGUUUCAAAAUUGGGUUAGGGUUUCAAACAAUGUUGGGGUUUCAAAGUAGGGUUUCAAAACAGGGUACGGUUUCAAAGUAGUGUUUCAAAACCAGGGUUAUGGCUUCUAAUUAGGGUUUCAAAAUGGGGUUAUGGUAUAAAAGUAUGGUUUCAAAGUGGGGUUAGGGUUUCCAACAUUGUUGGGGUUUCAAAACAGGGUACGGUUUCAAAGGGUUUCAAAACAGGGUUAUGGUUUCAAAAUAAGGUUUCACAACGGGGUUAAGGUUUCAAAUUAGGGUUUCAAAACAGGGUUAGGGUAUCAAAGUCGGGUUUCAAAAUGGGGUUAGGAUUUCAAACAUUGUUGUGGUUUCAAAGUAGGGUUUCAAAACUGGGCACGGUUUCAAAGUAGGGUUUCACAACGGGGUUAAGGUUUCAAAUUACGGUUUCAAAACAGGUUUAGGGUAUCAAAGUCAGGUUUCAAAAUGGGGUUAGGUUUUAGAACAUUGUUGGGGUUUCAAAGUAGGGUUAUGGCUUCAAAUUAGGCUUUCAAAACGGGGUUAGGGUAUCAAGUGUGUUUCAAAACAGGCUUAAAUGCACACUUCGUCUGAAAUGGUUGCCGUCAACACAGGGUCGGUGGGAGGAGUUAGUCGUGUAGGAAGAAGCAUCUCUGCAUCUCAUCUCGUGAGCUCCAUUACCUCACGAUCUGAAAAUUUGGCGACAUAAUGGAAGAAUCAGAAUGACAAACCUGUUUACAGAUUUCACAAAAUUAUAAUUUUUUUUUAGUGAAGUCAGGAAAAUAGCUGGAUAGUAGGGAAUUUUGCAAUCGCAAACGUGUAUGAACCGUGUGUGUAGAAAAUAGUGUUUUGACUCAUCGAAAGAAAAAGAGGCCACCACGUUUGCGGUGAAGACAUCGUGUCCGUCACCGUUGUCUCGCGUUCCAGCGCCACUCGUGAAUGUCUCGGACGCGAGUGUCCUCCUCCUGACCUGCGCCUUGCCUUGUCCUCCACAUAACACACGACAAAAACACACAAUCAUUUCAGGAGUAAGCUUUUCCGCACGCGUUGAAAACUUUGGCGCCAUCAGGUGGACAAAUGUAAAACAAAUAAGUAGUCCGAGUCAAAUAAAAAUCUAUGAGGAAAAAAAUGUUCGGUUACGAUUAUUUUCGGGGGGGGGAAAUGCUUAGAAAUAAAUGUCAGUUUUUAAAAAGUUCACUUUUAUAUUUUCAAAAUGAAAAGUUUUAUUUUUUUGAUUAUAGUCGUAUAUUUUUCUAGAA
Phycodurus eques (leafy seadragon) is the source of this 3175-nucleotide long non-coding RNA. RefSeq lists it as uncharacterized. The transcript has 3 exons. The record is from RefSeq and is a predicted model, not a curated record. Lineage: Eukaryota; Metazoa; Chordata; Actinopteri; Syngnathiformes; Syngnathidae.